GGGCCCAUAGCUCAAUUGGCAGAGCAGCGGACUCUUAAUCCGGAGGUUGAAGGUUCGAUUCCUUCUGGGCUCA
This 73-nucleotide transfer RNA is filed under the name bacterium. Its description in RNAcentral is "tRNA-Lys". It matches the Rfam family "tRNA". From Rfam's summary of the family: Transfer RNA (tRNA) molecules are approximately 80 nucleotides in length. Their secondary structure includes four short double-helical elements and three loops (D, anti-codon, and T loops). RNAcentral also lists the same sequence under 2 other names. The record is from RNAcentral.